CGCGUAGGCGGUGAGAUAAGUCAGAUGUGAAAUUCCGGGGCUCAACCCCGGAGCUGCAUUUGAAACUAUCUCGCUAGAGGUCAGUUAGGGAAAACGGAAUUCCACGUGUAGCGGUGAAAUGCGUAGAUAUGUGGAAGAACACCAGUGGUGAAGACGGUUUUCUGGGCUGAUACUGACGCUGAGGCGCGAAAGCAAGGGGAGCAAAACA
This 208-nucleotide ribosomal RNA is filed under the name uncultured bacterium. RNAcentral's name for it is "partial 16S ribosomal RNA". It matches the Rfam family "Bacterial small subunit ribosomal RNA", at positions 568 to 775 of the family's 1533-position model. The record is from RNAcentral.